UCCCUGGUGGCUCAGAUGGUAAAGAAUCUGCCUGUAAUGCAGGAGACCUGGGUUCAAUCCCUGGAUUGGGAA
Molecule: transfer RNA, 72 nt
Filed under: Ovis aries (sheep)
Lineage: Eukaryota; Metazoa; Chordata; Mammalia; Artiodactyla; Bovidae
Rfam family: tRNA
About the family: Transfer RNA (tRNA) molecules are approximately 80 nucleotides in length. Their secondary structure includes four short double-helical elements and three loops (D, anti-codon, and T loops). Further hydrogen bonds mediate the characteristic L-shaped molecular structure. tRNAs have two regions of fundamental functional importance: the anti-codon, which is responsible for specific mRNA codon recognition, and the 3' end, to which the tRNAs corresponding amino acid is attached (by aminoacyl-tRNA synthetases). tRNAs cope with the degeneracy of the genetic code in two manners: having more than one tRNA (with a specific anti-codon) for a particular amino acid; and 'wobble' base-pairing, i.e. permitting non-standard base-pairing at the 3rd anti-codon position.
Source: Rfam by way of RNAcentral